AUAGGGUUGUCACUCUGGCUCCAGCCAGUUGUCCUUUGAACUCUUCAAGGAAGGGAGGGCUUGAAGUUUUAUGUUCUGAACACACAAUUUUAAAAACAGCUGUAAUUUCAUGAAAAACAUUCAUGAUAUUUGUUAAAUUGAGAACCUGAAGCCAAUUAGUGGAUGCACUUCCAGACUGGGGGAGGGAGGAAGGAAGAAUUUUUUGUACCAGUUUAAAUGUCCAGACUUGUGUUUGAGUUACAGGUGUCUGAACAGUCAGGCUCAAAGUCUUUAAUCCUGCCAAUACUGCUACAUAUUGGUACCAAACCAGUCAACUACAAAGAGUUUCAAAGCUAAGGCCUAUUUCUGACAGAUAAGGUUACCAAGUAUUCAGUGGAAAGUCUACUCUUUGAGAGCUCAGAGGCCUGAAUGGCACCACAGGUUUAAAACCCAAACUUAGGCAGUGUAUCAUACUCAAAUAAAAUCUACAGAGACUUCUGGCAACAUUUUUUAAAUAAAAUGUGAAUGACAAAUUUUAUUAAAUGCACUCUUAAAAAAGUAUAUCUUUCUUAAAUAAGGAUUUCUCAGUAUGGAUUUCAAUGUAAAACAGUUUUAAGUCAUAAUAAUUAACAGGAUCAAUAAAAAAAGUCACUUAUGUACGGUAGUCUUCAAUCAUAUUUAAACAUAUGCACUGUGUGUGGUGUCCUCUUUCACAUGCUAGAUGAUGUCUGUGCAGCAUGGCUGGACAAGAUCAGCUCCAUUUUGUACUUGCACACAUUUAGAAUAAGCAGUAGGCAAGGGGUUGUAGCAGUUUUUAGAAACCCUCCCUCUCCCCCCCACAAAAAAAAAAAAGGCUUACCAAUACCGUGUAUUUUAUGCAGAAGAGCAUGCCAUGCUGCUUUUUUCCGCUGCUUAAAAGCACGUUUUAGAAAUGUCUUACAAAUAAUACACUGAAACAAUGCAUGAGAAGACUUCACCAUGGCAAUUUCACUGGAGCUUUAUUGCCUCUGUUGGUAAUGAGAGGGAUUGUAAGAAGUUACAUUGGAACUUACAGAGAUAUGUAAAUGAUGGGGUUUUUACUAAAUAUAAUCUUGUAAUUAAGUGUUUUAUAUCAGGGCACUUCUAAUUUUGUACAUAUUUAAUGUAUAAAACCAGGUUACAAACAUGAUGUUUGCUUUUUUUUUUCCUUGACAUUUGGCAAAAUUAAAGUGAUUCAUUUAAGGGGAGAUCAUCAAAUUGAAGACAUAAGCACUUACGAACGAAUUAAAGCAAUCCAAGUAAGUAACUGGCUGAAUUCUUAAAAAAAAAAGAAAAAACACACAAAUAUAGAAGGAAAAAAAAACCAACAAAAAAACCACACAUGGCCACAUUGAGCACAUUUCAAUGCAAAAUAUUCUCUGUAACGAGGCAUUUUGUCCUUAGAACAACACCCUGUUAAAUCAAUGUUUCUUUCAACUUCAGUCACUUCACAAAAUAACCCUUUCCUGCAACAUAAUUAGUCAAAGUUUUAUGUAUUUCUUUAUAAUUACACAGUAAUUAUAAGCAUGUAGUACCAAACUGAUGACAACACUAUUUUGUUGAAAAGAUCUUGCAUUCAAAAGGAAUAUUCUUUAAAACACCACGGCAUUAUGCCACUACCCAAUCUCAGACUUUUUUGAACGACAAGUCUGUACUGGGAUGAAAAGCAAGUCAGUUCUCUCCAAACACAGCAUACUUGAACUAAUCAAUCUGAAACUGUACCAAAACC
Pezoporus occidentalis (night parrot) is the source of this 1726-nucleotide long non-coding RNA. RefSeq lists it as uncharacterized. NCBI's taxonomy places the organism in Eukaryota, Metazoa, Chordata, Aves, Psittaciformes, Psittacidae. The record is from RefSeq and is a predicted model, not a curated record. The transcript is spliced from 2 exons.